This 443-nucleotide ribosomal RNA is filed under the name uncultured bacterium. Its description in RNAcentral is "partial 16S ribosomal RNA". It matches the Rfam family "Bacterial small subunit ribosomal RNA", at positions 338 to 795 of the family's 1533-position model. The record is from RNAcentral.
CCUACGGGUGGCAGCAGUGGGGAAUAUUGGGCAAUGGAGGAAACUCUGACCCAGCAACGCCGCGUGAAUGAUGAAGGUCUUCGGAUUGUAAAGUUCUUUUCUAAGGGAAGAAGAAAGUGACGGUACCUUAGGAAUAAGCCUCGGCUAACUACGUGCCAGCAGCCGCGGUAAUACGUAGGAGGCGAGCGUUAUCCGGAAUGACUGGGCGUAAAGGGUGCGUAGGUGGUUUGGCAAGUUAGUAGCGUAACUCCAAGGCUCAACCUUGGAACUACUACUAAAACUGUUGGACUUGAGUGCAGGAGGGGCAACCGGAAUUCCUAGUGUAGCGGUGGAAUGCGUAGAUAUCACGAAGAACUCCGAUUGCGAAGGCAGCUCACUGGACUGCAACUGACACUGAGGCUCGAAAGUGUGGGUAUCAAACAGGAUUAGAUACCCGUGUAGUC